Molecule: ribosomal RNA, 532 nt
Filed under: Williopsis misumaiensis
Lineage: Eukaryota; Fungi; Ascomycota; Saccharomycetes; Phaffomycetales; Wickerhamomycetaceae
Description: eukaryotic LSU rRNA
Rfam family: Eukaryotic large subunit ribosomal RNA
Source: RNAcentral
AUUUGAAAUCUGGUACCUUUGGUGCCCGAGUUGUAAUUUGAAGAUAGUUUUCUGGUAUUGGGCCCUUGUCUAUGUUCCUUGGAACAGGACGUCAUAGAGGGUGAGAAUCCCGUCUGGCGGGGCGCCCUUUGCUAUGUAGAUUUCUAUCGACGAGUCGAGUUGUUUGGGAAUGCAGCUCUAAGUGGGUGGUAAAUUCCAUCUAAAGCUAAAUAUUGGCGAGAGACCGAUAGCGAACAAGUACAGUGAUGGAAAGAUGAAAAGAACUUUGAAAAGAGAGUGAAAAAGUACGUGAAAUUGUUGAAAGGGAAGGAUAUUGGAUCAGACUUGGUGUUGCAUGAUUAUCUUCCCCUCGUGGGUUGUGCACUCGUGCUUCACUGGGCCAGCAUCGGUUCGGACGGCAAGAUAAUGACAUUGGAACGUGGCUCUUUCUUCGGUUAGAGUGUUAUAGCCCUUGUUGAUGUUGCCUGUCUGGACCGAGGACUGCGGCUUCUGCCUAGGAUGCUGGCGUAAUGAUUCAAUAUCGCCCGUCUUG